AUUGAACGCUGGCGGCAUGCCUUACACAUGCAAGUCGAACGGCAGCACGGGUGCUUGCACCUGGUGGCGAGUGGCGAACGGGUGAGUAAUGCAUCGGAACGUACCCGGAAGUGGGGGAUAACGUAGCGAAAGUUACGCUAAUACCGCAUAUUCUGUGAGCAGGAAAGCAGGGGAUCUUCGGACCUUGCGCUUUCGGAGCGGCCGAUGUCGGAUUAGCUAGUUGGUGAGGUAAAGGCUCACCAAGGCGACGAUCCGCAGCGGGUCUGAGAGGAUGAUCCGCCACACUGGGACUGAGACACGGCCCAGACUCCUACGGGAGGCAGCAGUGGGGAAAUUUGGACAAUGGGGGCAACCCUGAUCCAGCCAUGCCGCGUGAGUGAAGAAGGCCUUCGGGUUGUAAAGCUCUUUUGUCAGGGAAGAAAUGGUCUGGGUUAAUACCCUGGGCAGAUGACGGUACCUGAAGAAUAAGCACCGGCUAACUACGUGCCAGCCGCCGCCGUAA
This 502-nucleotide ribosomal RNA is filed under the name uncultured bacterium. Its description in RNAcentral is "partial 16S ribosomal RNA". It matches the Rfam family "Bacterial small subunit ribosomal RNA", at positions 30 to 523 of the family's 1533-position model. The record is from RNAcentral.